Molecule: ribosomal RNA, 133 nt
Filed under: uncultured bacterium
Lineage: Bacteria
Description: partial 16S ribosomal RNA
Rfam family: Bacterial small subunit ribosomal RNA
Source: RNAcentral
UGGGGAAUUUUCCGCAAUGGGCGAAAGCCUGACGGAGCAAUCUCGCGUGAGGGAUGACUGCCUAUGGGUUGUAAACCUCUUUUUUCAGGGAGGAAUCAAUGACGUGUGCCUGAAGAAUAAGCAUCGGCUAACU